UUUUUACAUUAUUUUAACAGAGGUUUACUGAAGUUUCGGGGUUUAAUCCAGAACAACUGUCCACACUCGUUUAAGAAUUCAGUAUCAUUUCCAAGAAAUUAAUCUUGUGGUUUGGUUUUGUUUAAAAUUGGGCAUCCGAAGACACCAUAAAUUUGAUUGUAGUUCCGCGGGGCGCAAAAGUCAGACACUCAUAACUCGGUUUUACCCAAGCCACAAGCAUCCUCCUUCUGUUUUCCUUUCCUUUUCAAACGCAAGCGUUCUCCAAGAAUCAGAAAAUAGCAACUGUGGUAAUGAUCCUUCCGCAGGUUCACCUACGGAAA
RNAcentral lists this unclassified non-coding RNA (320 nucleotides) under uncultured fungus. RNAcentral describes it as "sequence contains ITS1". The record is from RNAcentral. Lineage: Eukaryota; Fungi.